GGUAACCACCUAAGUAUUUUAAUAAUACCAUGGGUAUUAAAACCAUGUACAAACAAGACAACCCAUAAAAGAACCCACAAAGAAUUCAAUAGAAAAGUUGGAGUGAAAAAAGGACAGAUGCGGAGGAUAAGGGAUGAAGAAAGGGAUGUGAAGGUAAUGAUGCAGAAUAUGAAAGGAAAGAGGAAGAAAUGGUCGGGGUGGAAAGGUGAGGGAGUUGAUGUCUGAGGAGUUAUCAUAGGUCCAUGAUGUCACCCUCACAGCCAUUUCAUUUGGCCUUGACAGCUAUGCGGACACACGUAGUGCGAGUGCGGUGCUGCACAAUCAAGACUCUAGAAGCGCAAUCAGAGACAAGGGAAAGGUAAUUGAACACAAAUAUGAUUGAAUUAAAAGUUUAAAGAACUUAUCAUGAUUAUACAUGUCUACAUAGAUUGAUAGUUUCACAUACUUGUCGUUUUUAUGUAUUGGGAAUUAUUGGCUUCACAUCCUUAUUGAUUGCACCCACAAUACCUGAAGAAGCAAAAGAAGAGAUGCCUCAGGUUGUCUACAAAAAUAUCGAUAACAUCCCUUCUCUACCACAUGCAUAUUCUAGGACUUUCGAUCGUCCUAAGAGAAGACAUGGAUGUGAGGAUCCUUCAAAGUGAAGGAGUGUUUUGAAGAGGAAACUUUAAUCUUGAAUGUAAUAAUGAACAAUGACAGUUAUUUGUAUAAUCUUGAGAUUCGAUAUAAUUUGUUCCAUCUAAAUCUUAAGUGUUAAAUUUGGUUGCCUUGGGCAACUUCACCAAAUUUAAUGACCAUAUUGGUAUUGUUAUUAAUCAUAACAUGGAUGCUUA
This is a long non-coding RNA of Cryptomeria japonica (Japanese cedar), 830 nucleotides long. RefSeq lists it as uncharacterized. The transcript has 5 exons. The record is from RefSeq and is a predicted model, not a curated record. Lineage: Eukaryota; Viridiplantae; Streptophyta; Pinopsida; Cupressales; Cupressaceae.